UUGGAGAUGCUCUUGGUACUGAACUGUUUGUACCGUAAGUAUAGUACAACCGGCUAAGGGGGGAAAAGAACAGAGCACGCAGUAUAUGGGGAAUGGAAGCAAAAAUUAGGGUUUUUGUAGAGGAUACGGAAUCAAAUCAGUAGAGAGAUUUGAAGAUAAUUAAGCAUUUAUGAUUGAACUGUUGAAUAUGUGUGUGUGGUUGAACGAUGGUGGUGGAGGAUUUAUACGGUGCCGUAACUGGUGGUGGCUAUGUGUGGGUUCGAAAGAGUUGCAGGGGGUUUGGGGUUGUUGAGGCCUAAAUUGAAAGCGGCGGUAGCGCUGGUAUGUAGGUGGUCUGUUGCAGCGAUGGACUGUGUAACUGCGUAUGGAUGAAAGGAGGGAUGUAGGCAAGCUGUUUGAUAAAAUGUCUGUGAGGGAGAGAAGCUAGCGAAGGUGUGGUAUUUGGGCAGUGUUAGCGCGGUUGUCGGAGAUGAGGAUCAUGGCAGCGGCAGCAGCCGCAGGAGGACGGGAGGGAAGCUAGGGAGGUGGAGUAUGCCGAGAGAAGGCAGGUGGUUAUUCCAAAGCAGGUGUGUCAAAUGUUUUCCAGGUUGGCCUUUUAACCAGUCUUUUUAACCAAUUUAAUAAUAUGUUUCUGUAUAUCUGAAGCUCUUUGUACAAUGUAUGUUUCUAUAUUGUCUACAAGGUAGAGGCAGUUAAAAUUUGGAUAACUUUUUCAUGGCAAGGUUUGGUCUAAUUGUAAUCUAGUAGAAGUAUCACACCCUGGUAAUGGCUUGUCUAGUUUUGGCUUUACUGUCCAGGAAAAAACUCUGACGGAUAAGGCAGCUGUGAUAUUUCAUAUUUGGCAAGAGAGAAAUAGGAGAUUAUCUGCAAAUGGAAGCAAGGUUGUCACCCACUGGUCAGGUUGUUCUCAUAUGCUAGUCUUACACUGAGUUUGUUUAUUGAAAUUUUGCAUGCUAUGUAUAUUUGCACCCACCAUCUAUGCCGUGAUCAUCCAUGUAUGUCAAUUAUUAAUUUGCAAUGUGUGUUUCUGCAAUCUAUGUAGUAUUGUAUGUGUGUAUUUAUUUGUGUAUCGAGUCUAUUGCUAUUGUCUGCUUGUACAAUCCGUGCAGUAGCUUGGGUAUGUUUUUGCGUAUUAAGUCUAUUGCAUAAUUUUGGUUAAACAAUUUCUAGAUGUUGGAUAUCCCUAUAAUUUGGAACAGUGGAGGGUUUGAUUCUUGCUUGCUGUUCUCUGCUUUACUCCAUCUAUGCAUAAACUUCCAGGUAAUUUUAGCCUAAUCCUGGCAUAGGCAUCUUAGAAAUAUGCUCAAUGAUUUUAGAUUUUUAGUUAUCCGAAAAUUGUCUUUUUCUCUGUGGGUCUACCGAAUUCCUAAAGAGAACUUGACACAAUGAUUCUAGAUCAUUGUAAUUUAGAUGAGUCAUCACUAAAUAUUUAAAAAGACUCAGGUUUUGUGGUUGUUCACUCCAUGCAGGCUCGAUAGUUUUACCAAAGACAAUGUUUAUGCGGAGGCUACAUGUGCUGAGUUGUUAUAAAUUAGAUAUGAUUUCAAAUUCUUUAUCAAGCAUUUAAGUCUCUCAAAUCUCAAAAAGCUGAGUAUUCCAUGCGGAAUCAAAUUUCGUGAAUUUAAAUCUGAUAGAGGGAAGCAGAUUUAUAUUGAACAGAGUAAGCUGUCCUGCGAUGGAGGUAAUCAUAAAAGGUGAUGGUACAAAUAACAGGAAGGUCUUAAACUUUGCUCAAUUGAAAUCUAUUGCCGUAAAAGAUAUGCAGACACUUACACGAUUUUACAGCCAUGAGAGAAAUAUGGGUUCAAAUUCAACUAACAGCACUGAUAUUUCCUCUGACCAUUUUGGGUUAAGACAAGAAAACACUACAAGAAAAACGGAUAAAAAUGACCGGCUAAAUAUGACCGACUACAAAUAUGACUGCUCGCGGUCAUAUUUAAGGUCAAAUCACGAAAUUUACAAGUCAAAGUUAAAUAUGACCGGAUAAAUUUGACUGCCGUUAAAUAUUACUGAUAGCAGUCAUUUUAAAUGACGGUCAUAUUUCUCCAGUCAUAUUUAUAGUGUGGGACCCACAAAAUUUAAGAGGCAAAUUUCCCUCCAAUAAAAUUUAUGAUGACGUCAUUAAAUUUGACUAGAAUCGGUCAAUAAUAAAGCCGGUCAUAUUUAUUUUUUAAGCGGGAAGAUAAUCUGCGGUACAUAUCAUGGAUUUUUUAUGUAGUUGAAUAGUAGUCUUCAGUUAUACUAGUUUUUUAGUUGAUUUUGAUUGUAUGUAAUUUGUAUUUGCUAACAAAAAGUAGUCUAGAUUUUGUUGGGUUAUUUGUCUUGGCCAAAUUUUAUCAGCUGUAUGACUUGUUUAUUCUUCUUUAAAUUAAUGAUAUUAUUGUUAUUGUUUGUAGUUUUAUUUUGAAUUUGCAGUUAUCUAUUUUUAUUGUAUUUAGGAAUAUUUCAAGAAUAUACGGGUAAAGAAAAAUAACAGUAAAAUAAAUAUUAUGAUUUUAAAAAUAUAUAUCACUUACACAACGUUCCUGUAAGUGCUGUUGAAG
Molecule: long non-coding RNA, 2543 nt
Filed under: Daucus carota (carrot)
Lineage: Eukaryota; Viridiplantae; Streptophyta; Magnoliopsida; Apiales; Apiaceae
Description: long non-coding RNA (DCAR_LNC007662)
Source: RNAcentral